Moniliophthora perniciosa FA553 is the source of this 122-nucleotide transfer RNA. It matches the Rfam family "tRNA". From Rfam's summary of the family: Transfer RNA (tRNA) molecules are approximately 80 nucleotides in length. The record is from Rfam. NCBI's taxonomy places the organism in Eukaryota, Fungi, Basidiomycota, Agaricomycetes, Agaricales, Marasmiaceae.
GUCUAGGUAGCUCAGUGGUUAGAGCGAGUCCUUAAUGUCUGCCCUGGGGAUGGUAGCCUUCCAUCUCCAGGGUGGCUCCCGCCGUUAGGGACCAUGCCCAAGUUCGAAUCUUGGCCUAGACA